RNAcentral lists this RNase P RNA (375 nucleotides) under Phycisphaera sp. Its description in RNAcentral is "RNase P RNA component class A". It matches the Rfam family "Bacterial RNase P class A". From Rfam's summary of the family: Ribonuclease P (RNase P) is a ubiquitous endoribonuclease, found in archaea, bacteria and eukarya as well as chloroplasts and mitochondria. Its best characterised activity is the generation of mature 5'-ends of tRNAs by cleaving the 5'-leader elements of precursor-tRNAs. The record is from RNAcentral. Lineage: Bacteria; Pseudomonadati; Planctomycetota; Phycisphaerae; Phycisphaerales; Phycisphaeraceae.
GCAUCCAGGCGGCCGCUCAGGGUGGGUUCUCCACCCUGGGAGGAAAGUCCGAGCACGACAGGACACGGUGGUGGGUAACGCCCACCGGCCCGCUGCAGGGUCAGGGACAGUGCCACAGAGAACAGACCGCCCGCGGUUUCGGCCGCAGGUAAGGGUGAAACGGUGCGGUAAGAGCGCACCGCCCGUUGGGUGACCAACGGGGCACGGCAAACCCCACCGCGUGCAAGUGCAAGCAGCUUCCGUCCGACCCUGUCGGGCACCCGCUGUCCGCGGGGCGUGGAGCGGGUCGCGCGCUUGAGCCCUCGGGCAACCGAUGGCCUAGAGAAAUGGUCGCCACCGGGCAACCGGGACAGAACUCGGCUUAUCGAUGCAUGC